CCGAGGUCCUCAAGGAGGCGCCGCCGCCAUCGUUGCAGGCCUCCGGGUUGCCAUCGGGACACCGCUGCCGAGAUCCGCCUUCGCCUUCGUCCGGCAGAGGCGGCGGAAGGCAGCCGGGAGGGGAAGCGCACAACGACCCAGAAGACAUCCUCCCUCACGCGCUCAUCGUCUUGCUCGAUCUACCCGAGGGCUGCCGAUGGGCGCCUCGGCGGCGGCCACGGCGAGAUCUGCGUCUGGGACGUGACAAUCCCUCCACCCCGGUCGCCGGUGAGAUUUCACUGUCUCGAUCCUCCCGGUCCCAGUUUAUCAGGUCAUCCCUGACAAGAGGGAGCGAGAGAUGCUACUGCCGGGCACGUGGACGCACGUGGGGCGGCUGCCUGCGAGCAGGGCCGCGUCCUCUCUCCUUCGUCGACCAUGGCCUCCGAACCACUCCGUUGUACCUCUGCGCCCAAGUGUCCGCUCCUCGAUCUUCAACAGAUUUGUUAUCGCCUCUCUUCCGUUGCAGGUAGGGUACACUUGAUGUUUCAUGUUUGGUGAAAGAAAAGGAGCUUCCUAUGUUGAUUUCAGGCAAGACAUACAUUCUGCCAUGCAUUAGUAGAUCAAUUGCUUCUUUGUGUAGGGGAACGAUUAGUGAUUGAAUCUCUCUGUCUCGUUUCUUGAUUAUCCAAUUAAUUUACCCUCAUCUAUGCAUAAA
This is a long non-coding RNA of Triticum dicoccoides, 694 nucleotides long. RefSeq lists it as uncharacterized. The record is from RefSeq and is a predicted model, not a curated record. The transcript has 2 exons. Lineage: Eukaryota; Viridiplantae; Streptophyta; Magnoliopsida; Poales; Poaceae.